GCUUACGGCCAUACCACCCUGAGCACGCCCGACCUCGUCUGAUCUCGGAAGCUAAGCAGGGCUGGGCUUGGUUAGUACUUGGAUGGGGGAAUACCUGGUGCUGUAAGCC
Molecule: ribosomal RNA, 109 nt
Filed under: Maylandia zebra (zebra mbuna)
Lineage: Eukaryota; Metazoa; Chordata; Actinopteri; Cichliformes; Cichlidae
Source: RNAcentral